RNAcentral lists this ribosomal RNA (289 nucleotides) under uncultured bacterium. RNAcentral's name for it is "partial 16S ribosomal RNA". It matches the Rfam family "Bacterial small subunit ribosomal RNA", at positions 337 to 618 of the family's 1533-position model. The record is from RNAcentral.
UCCUACGGGAGGCAGCAGUGGGGAAUAUUGGACAAUGGGCGAAAGCCUGAUCCAGCCAUGCCGCGUGUGUGAAGAAGGUCUUCGGAUUGUAAAGCACUUUAAGUCGGGAGGAAGGGCAGUAAGCUAAUACCUUGCUGUUUUGACGUUACCGACAGAAUAAGCACCGGCUAACUUCGUGCCAGCAGCCGCGGUAAUACGAAGGGUGCAAGCGUUAAUCGGAAUUACUGGGCGUUAAGCGCGCGUAGGCGGUUCAGCAAGUUGGAUGUGAAAGCCCCGGGCUCAACCUGGG